UACAGAGGUCCCAAGCGUUGUUCGGAUUCACUGGGCGUAAAGGGUGCGUAGGUGGCCAGGUAAGUUUGGUGUGAAAGCUCGGAGCUUAACUCCGAAAAGUCAUUGAAUACUAUCUGGCUGGAGGGUCGGAGGGGAGACUGGAAUUCUCGGUGUAGCAGUGAAAUGCGUAGAUAUCGAGAGGAACACCAGUGGCGAAGGCGAGUCUCUGGACGACUCCUGACACUGAGGCACGAAAGCGUGGGGAGCAAACGGG
This 253-nucleotide ribosomal RNA is filed under the name uncultured bacterium. RNAcentral's name for it is "partial 16S ribosomal RNA". It matches the Rfam family "Bacterial small subunit ribosomal RNA", at positions 524 to 776 of the family's 1533-position model. The record is from RNAcentral.